CCUCGAGGCUUUGCCAUAAUCACACACACACACACACACACCUCUUCCCUAUAGUUUUUUGAUUAAGCUGAUUUAGAUGAGAUGUAACGUCUACCAUAAAAUAAAAUUUUUGGAUCUACUGAUCAUUCAUUAGUUCUGGAUUAUAAACACUCAUUUCAAGGAGUAAUGCUUUAACUUCUGUUAAUAAGGAUGCAAAACAUUUCAAAACAUUUCCUCUUGAUAACCAACGCACUUUAUUAUUCAGCAGAAGAUCUGAGUACUCGCUCUCCAUUUCAACUAAAAAUUCUUUAAACUGGCGAUGAUUAAAAGCUGUAGUAAUAAUGAGGUUAACAAUAAUAUAAUUAUGAAUUCCAUAACUUUGCAAAUUUCUUCUGGAAAUGUCGAGCACAAAGCGCUUCUUGAUGAAUGAUACAAUGGCACAUGGCUCUUAUUGAACUAAGACUGUCACUGAAUGAUUGUUUGGAAUCGACAUUUCUUGCUGUCUGAAACCUACUUCACCUAUGAUGUAAAUAUGCAGUUGUGGUUCUCACUGACAUAAAGUUUAGCCACUCCUGAUCGAUUA
Stegodyphus dumicola is the source of this 562-nucleotide long non-coding RNA. The record is from RefSeq and is a predicted model, not a curated record. NCBI's taxonomy places the organism in Eukaryota, Metazoa, Arthropoda, Arachnida, Araneae, Eresidae.